GCCGAAGUGGUGGAACUGGCAGACACGUACGACUCAAAAUCGUAUGGGCUUGGCCCAUGAGGGUUCGAUUCCCUCCUUCGGCACCA
RNAcentral lists this transfer RNA (86 nucleotides) under Bacillota bacterium. RNAcentral describes it as "Firmicutes bacterium (anaerobic digester metagenome) tRNA-Leu". It matches the Rfam family "tRNA". From Rfam's summary of the family: Transfer RNA (tRNA) molecules are approximately 80 nucleotides in length. The record is from RNAcentral. RNAcentral also lists the same sequence under 1 other name. Lineage: Bacteria; Bacillati; Bacillota.